RNAcentral lists this ribosomal RNA (457 nucleotides) under uncultured bacterium. Its description in RNAcentral is "bacterial SSU rRNA". It matches the Rfam family "Bacterial small subunit ribosomal RNA", at positions 340 to 786 of the family's 1533-position model. The record is from RNAcentral.
UACGGAAGGCAGCAGUGGGGAAUAUUGCACAAUGGGCGAAAGCCUGAUACAGCUAUGCCGCGUGUAUGAAGAAGGCCUUAGGGUUGUAAAGUACUUUCAUCGGGGAGGAAAAAACAAAACUAAUAAUUUUAUUUCUUGACGUUACCCGAAAAAGAAGCACCGGCUAACUCCGUGCCAGCAGCCGCGGUAAUACGGAGGGUGCUAGCGUUAAUCAGAAUUACUGGGCGUAAAGAGCACGUAGGUGGUUUUUUUAAAGUCAGAUGUGAAAUCCCUGGGCUUAACCUAGGAACUGCAUUUUGAAACUGAAAUACUAGAGUAUCGUAGAGGGAGGUAGAAUUCUAGGUGUAGCGGUGAAAUGCGUAGAUAUCUGGAGGAAUACCUGUGGCGAAAGCGGCCUCCUAAACGAAUACUGACACUGAGGUGCGAAAGCGUGGGGAGCAAACAGGGAUUAGAUACC